This 1566-nucleotide long non-coding RNA is filed under the name Varroa destructor (honeybee mite). Its description in RNAcentral is "uncharacterized LOC111243225". The record is from RNAcentral. Lineage: Eukaryota; Metazoa; Arthropoda; Arachnida; Mesostigmata; Varroidae.
UACAUUAUAUACAUCGUAGAAAGGUCGAGCAUGUAUGUGUCUGCAUUGGCAAAUUUAUAGGAUUACAUUUCUGAAUCAGUAUCAUCAACACCGUCAACAAUGCCUGGCUAAAUUUCAGUGAAUAAACGAGCCAGCACAAAUGCCACGGAUCUUGUUCGAUAGCUUUGUCACGCUUCGUCUGAUGCAUCCUAGUAGCUUUGCUUACCCCUCGAAACUGCUCUAUAACCGACCAGCCAGGCAAACAAGCGAAGAUCACGUCACACCCAUGAAUUGUUUGUUGCCAGCUGCUGGAUUGAACAAGCUGACGACGGCCAUUGCGGAAAGAAAAUACUGACAGCAAAUGCUUAUCUGAACGGUGGCUUAAGACUGUGUUAUCGCCAUCAUAACGCUCGGCUGGGUUAUCCUCAGUGUUUUUCGACGUAGAAAACCGAGACGGCGCAUCGAGGCUACGUCUGAAGGAGCAAACUGUGUUGUCCGUGCUUUGCUCUACAUCUUGUGUGACGUCUGCCCGGCAGGACCUUUCUGGGUAACCGACAGCGUCCGUGAACGUUGGCGAAACGAAGCAAAUUCACGAUCAAAACACUGUCGACCUCUGUGCUUCCCGCAGUGAAAGACAGAUGGUAUUAAUGGCUCGUAAGAUGAUCAGGAACAAAUAAAAAAGCCAAAAGGAUGUAAAAAAGAAAGCUGCGCGUGGAGUUAUGGUUGAACUAGCAAAACUGUUGAAACCAACAUGCCAUAUGAGUGCGUCUGGAAAAAAAGCUGUUUGCAAAUGUCAUCAGAUUGCCCUUCUCCCCGGUGCGCUCCACUUCAUUGUGUCAUGAACGUGUAUUAGCGGCCAUAUGGUGGCCCCAGGAGGCGCUCGUCAAAGCUAACCCUACCUAGUAAUAGCUGCGGCCCAGUUUCGACUGUUUGAGAAGAAUGAGGGCUAUUGUUUUGGUUUGCGAUGCACGCGUUUACUGUGCGUGUUUCUAUCGUCGAGUCCCUAAGCCGAUGCCCGAGCAUUGCAGGGAUACAAACAGACCGAUAAAUUCGUAUCCGCACUGAUCACCACACAGUAAAACGGUAACCGAUAAGACCAACAAAAAAGCAGUGUACUCCACGUGUUUUGUCUCAAAAACAUCAAGUAGUUACCUGUGCACGAUCGCACGAUGUGAAAAGCGUAGUUCGCAGUGAAACAGCUAGCCUGGUUCUCGCAUGAUCAGACUGUAUAAAUCCUUACCGUAGAUUCCUUUUUCUAGCCCAUAGUUAUAGAACACUGACCUAGUCAAUGUUAACCGCGUAAGCCAAUAUCGUACGAUGAAGUUUCAUUAAAGAGACAGACAUCGGAAGCGUUUCUCACUAGCAUCCAUGAAAGACCCAUGCACUGAUGUUACAAUUACCGUUUCUCUUGGGGCAGCAUUAAGCAGAUAGACGUAGCGCUUGCAGCGAUAUGAAUAGUUCCUUCGACAACAACAUCAACAACAACAACAAUAAUAACCGUCACUGCAAUAACGGUACGUCCGCAUAAGGCGACGGAAUAAUUUGCUAUGCCAAUUUGCUACCUUGGAACGUAUUAUGAUAAGUGAA